GUUCAGGCCGUCCCAGUUUUCCCUCGCAUAGCCACCGCCGUCACCGCCGCAUAUCCCGCUGGUAGACGGGUACCUCGUUGCGCUGUUUGGAUCAUCCCUACGCGGCGACCCCGAUCCAGGCGACAAGCGGCAGUCCGCGACCUUGUUGUCGCUCCUACCGCCAAGGUUCCGGUCGGUCGGCAGUACUGCAGGCCCUACGUCGCGGCGGAUCCAAUCCGCGUGCCGUCCGACUCUGUACGCCGUCAUCGGGAACUUCGUCGGCAAGGCGUGGAACGGCUCCGGCCUCUUCCCUAACCCCUGCGGCCAGACUGCCAUCCAGGUGUUGUUCUGGAGUUAGAUACAAAAUACUCGACUUCUGGCCUUGCAUGGGACUUGUUUCAACGGCGGCAUUUUGAGGUCAUGUACAUAUGAAGAUUGGAAACACUGUUGGUGAGGUGGAACUGAUCUGAAUGGGAUGUGUUUGGGAUCAUACCAGGUUUCCCUGCUGCUAUCUGCCUAUGGCGAAUGCCUAAUCUUAUGGUUAUAUGAGCAACAAUGCUUUGAUGAAC
Triticum aestivum (bread wheat) is the source of this 548-nucleotide long non-coding RNA. RefSeq lists it as uncharacterized. The transcript is spliced from 3 exons. The record is from RefSeq and is a predicted model, not a curated record. Lineage: Eukaryota; Viridiplantae; Streptophyta; Magnoliopsida; Poales; Poaceae.